RNAcentral lists this ribosomal RNA (248 nucleotides) under uncultured bacterium. RNAcentral's name for it is "partial 16S ribosomal RNA". It matches the Rfam family "Bacterial small subunit ribosomal RNA", at positions 524 to 776 of the family's 1533-position model. The record is from RNAcentral.
UACGAAGGGGCGAGCGUUGUUCGGAAUCACUGGGCGUAAAGGCGCGUAGGCGGCCCUCUUAGUCGCGUGUGAAAGCCCCGGGCUCAACCUGGGAACGGCGCGCGAAACGGGAGGGCUGGAGUUCGGGAGAGGAGAGUGGAAUUCCCAGUGUAGAGGUGAAAUUCGUAGAUAUUGGGAGAACACCGGUGGCGAAGGCGGCGACCUGGUCCGAUACUGACGCUGAGGCGCGAAAGCGUGGGAGCAACAGG